RNAcentral lists this transfer RNA (67 nucleotides) under Marmota monax (woodchuck). Its description in RNAcentral is "tRNA.Ala". The record is from RNAcentral. Lineage: Eukaryota; Metazoa; Chordata; Mammalia; Rodentia; Sciuridae.
GGAUGUGGCUCAGUGGUAGAAUACUUGUCUAGCAUGCAGGAGGCCCUGGAUUUGAUCCCAAGUACCG